Molecule: long non-coding RNA, 129 nt
Organism: Myotis brandtii (Brandt's bat)
Lineage: Eukaryota; Metazoa; Chordata; Mammalia; Chiroptera; Vespertilionidae
Exons: 3
Source: RefSeq, a predicted model, not a curated record
CUCUGGCACCCGGGACCCAGGCCUUUGGUCUGGCCACAGUGGAGAAACCAAGCCUUGAGGCUAGGCUUUUCCCCUCCGGCCGCAGCGAGGUUUGGCUUCUCUGCUGCACUCUUCAGUCUUCAAUCUUCA